GUUCUACCGUAACGAUGACACCAGCGAUUAAUCGGCGUUAAUAUACGACCCGAUUAGCAGCUUCCGGGAAACCAAAGUUUUUCGUUUCCGGGGGAAGUAUGGUUGCAAAGCUGAAACUUAAAGGAAUUGACGGAAGGGCACCACCAGGAGUGGAGCCUGCGGCUUAAUUUGACUCAACACGGGAAAGCUCACCCGGCCCGGACACUGUAAGGAUUGACAGACUGAGAGCUCUUUCUUAAUUCAGUGGGUGGUGGUGCAUGGCCGUUCUUAGUUGGUGGAGCGAUUUGUCUGGUUAAUUCCGAUAACGAACGAGACUCUGGCCUAUUAAAUAGACGAGAUAUUACUCUGUAUCUCGCGCUUCUUAGAGGGACAAGCGGCGUCUAGUCGCAUGAAAAAGAGCAAUAACAGGUCUGUGAUGCCCUUAGAUGUCCGGGGCUGCACGCGCGCUACACUGAAAGAAUCAGUGGGCGUUUUACCUGGUUCGGAAGAACCGGGUAACCCAAGUAAUUUCUUUCGUGCUUGGGAUAGGGAAUUGCAAUUAUUUCCCUUAAACGAGGAAUUCCCAGUAAACGCGGGUCAUAAGCUCGUGUUGAUUACGUCCCUGCCCUUUGUACACACCGCCCGUCGCUACUACCGAUUGGAUGACUUAGUGAGGUCUUAGGACUGAGGUAGAGGUGCUUUAACGAGUGCCCUUGCUUUGGAAAUUUGAUCGAACUACGUUAUCUAGAGGAAGUAAAAGUCGUAACAAGGUUUCCGUAGGUGAACCUGCGGAAGGAUC
Molecule: ribosomal RNA, 778 nt
Filed under: uncultured eukaryote
Lineage: Eukaryota
Description: SSU rRNA
Rfam family: Eukaryotic small subunit ribosomal RNA
Source: RNAcentral